GCCUGAGUAGCUCAGUGGAUAGAGCAGUUGCACGCUAAGCUUCAGGUCACGGGUUCAAAUCCCGUCUCAGGUU
RNAcentral lists this transfer RNA (73 nucleotides) under Candidatus Saccharimonadota bacterium. RNAcentral's name for it is "tRNA-Ser". It matches the Rfam family "tRNA". Rfam says of the family: Transfer RNA (tRNA) molecules are approximately 80 nucleotides in length. Their secondary structure includes four short double-helical elements and three loops (D, anti-codon, and T loops). Lineage: Bacteria; Candidatus Saccharimonadota. The record is from RNAcentral.